Molecule: ribosomal RNA, 253 nt
Filed under: uncultured bacterium
Lineage: Bacteria
Description: partial 16S ribosomal RNA
Rfam family: Bacterial small subunit ribosomal RNA
Source: RNAcentral
UACGAAGGGUGCAAGCGUUACUCGGAAUUACUGGGCGUAAAGCGUGCGUAGGUGGUUUGUUAAGUCUGAUGUGAAAGCCCUGGGCUCAACCUGGGAACGGCAUUGGAAACUGGCUUACUAGAGUGCGGUAGAGGGGUGUGGAAUUCCCGGUGUAGCAGUGAAAUGCGUAGAUAUCUGGAGGAACACCGGUGGCGAAGGCGGCAUCCUGGACCGAGAUUGACGCUGAGGCGCGAAAGCUAGGGUAGCAAACGGG